This 374-nucleotide unclassified non-coding RNA is filed under the name fungal sp. RNAcentral's name for it is "partial internal transcribed spacer region". The stretch from base 1 to 46 matches the Rfam family "Eukaryotic small subunit ribosomal RNA", at positions 1786 to 1831 of the family's 1831-position model. The record is from RNAcentral. Lineage: Eukaryota; Fungi.
AAGUCGUAACAAGGUUUCCGUAGGUGAACCUGCGGAAGGAUCAUUAUCACGUAUCCACGUAUCAACCAUUGUGAACUGUUGCGACCGUUGAAAAUUUGGAAAGAGUUGUUAUAAUAAACGUUUGUUUUUCUUCGUUUAGAAAAAACAACAAACAAUAGUGAUUUGAAGUUGUUUGAGUUUAUUAUAACCUACAAUCGAAUUGUCUUUCUAAUUUUUAACGAGUAUUUAUUUUUUCAAAUCAUUAUUAACUAUUUAAACCCAAUUUAAUGCAAUUUUGAACUGAAUUAAUUUCUUACUUACUUUUUAUAAAGUAAGAAGAAAUAAAUCUUUACGAAACAAAAGAACAACUCUUAGCAACGGAUAUCUUGGUUCUC